CCUACGGGUGGCAGCAGUGAGGAAUAUUGGUCAAUGGGCGGGAGCCUGAACCAGCCAAGUCGCGUGAGGGAAGAAGGUACUGAGUAUUGUAAACCUCUUUUGCCAGGGUACAAAGGCUGCCACGGGUGGCCUUAAGAGGGUACCUGAAGAAAAAGCAUCGGCUAACUCCGUGCCAGCAGCCGCGGUAAUACGGGGGAUGCGAGCGUUAUCCGGAUUUUUUGGGUUUAAAGGGUGCGCAGGGGGCGUGUCAAUUCAGCGGUAAAAGGUCGGGGCUCAACCCCGGCCGGCCGUUGAAACGGGCGUGCUCGAGUUGGAGAGAAGUAUGCGGAAUUCGUGGUGUAGCGGUGAAAUGCAU
RNAcentral lists this ribosomal RNA (355 nucleotides) under uncultured bacterium. RNAcentral describes it as "partial 16S ribosomal RNA". It matches the Rfam family "Bacterial small subunit ribosomal RNA", at positions 338 to 691 of the family's 1533-position model. The record is from RNAcentral.